ACCGAAUGCUUGCAUUCACCGUAAGAAGUUGAGUGGCGGACGGGUGAGUAACACGUGGGUAACCUGCCUAAAAGAAGGGGAUAACACUUGGAAACAGGUGCUAAUACCGUAUAUCUCUAAGGAUCGCAUGAUUCUUAGAUGAAAGAUGGUUCUGCUAUCGCUUUUAGAUGGACCCGCGGCGUAUUAACUAGUUGGUGGGGUAACGGCCUACCAAGGUGAUGAUACGUAGCCGAACUGAGAGGUUGAUCGGCCACAUUGGGACUGAGACACGGCCCAAACUCCUACGGGAGGCAGCAGUAGGGAAUCUUCCACAAUGGGCGCAAGUCUGAUGGAGCAACGCCGCGUGAGUGAAGAAGGUCUUCGGAUCGUAAAACUCUGUUGUUAGAGAAGAACACGAGUGAGAGUAACUGUUCAUUCGAUGACGGUAUCUAACCAGCAAGUCACGGCUAACUACGUGCCAGCAGCCGCGGUAAUACGUAGGUGGCAAGCGUUGUCCGGAUUUAUUGGGCGUAAAGGGAACGCAGGCGGUCUUUUAAGUCUGAUGUGAAAGCCUUCGGCUUAACCGGAGUAGUGCAUUGGAAACUGGAAGACUUGAGUGCAGAAGAGGAGAGUGGAACUCCAUGUGUAGCGGUGAAAUGCGUAGAUAUAUGGAAGAACACCAGUGGCGAAAGCGG
RNAcentral lists this ribosomal RNA (674 nucleotides) under uncultured Bacilli bacterium. RNAcentral's name for it is "bacterial SSU rRNA". It matches the Rfam family "Bacterial small subunit ribosomal RNA", at positions 66 to 724 of the family's 1533-position model. Lineage: Bacteria; Bacillati; Bacillota; Bacilli. The record is from RNAcentral.